This 1304-nucleotide long non-coding RNA is filed under the name Betta splendens (Siamese fighting fish). RNAcentral describes it as "lncRNA (ENSBSLG00000020480.1)". The record is from RNAcentral. Lineage: Eukaryota; Metazoa; Chordata; Actinopteri; Anabantiformes; Osphronemidae.
UCGUUUUCUGAUGUGAAUCAAUCAGCGGCGCUGUCCGAGGUGCUGAAACGGAACCUCUGCGGAGCAUCGGCGCGUAAAACACAGAGUUCCCGUAUUUGACGGUUGCGGACACGGUGCUGACAAUCGUAUCUGCUCAGGAUACAGAGCUUAGUGUCCUCGUGCUCCUAAGUGUCAAAUAAUGUAAAGUAAUUCUAGGCGUGUUUGCUUUAUUUCAUCUCCCCAUCUACGGCGGCCCGUUGUGCGUGACAGCGUCUCGCAUCGUUCGCCGCGUGGCUUUCGUUAGAUCCCGUCGGUUUUAUUGCAGUCAGAUUGCGCCAGUGCUGGCACGCGCGCGCUCUUGUUUUCGUGGUGUGUGGAGAAGUUCUGGCGGCGUGUUUUAGCGGAGCCCGUCUGCAUUGCGUCGAAAGCCUCCAACUCCUCCUCCUGCUGCUGCUGCCCUCCCUCCCCUGUCCUCACCCCUCCCCUCUUUCUCCUCACCUCCCCUGCACUUCCAUGUAAAGAGCCCAGGGAAACAUGCGUGUGGAGCAAACACUCGGACUUCGCCGCGGCUCCUGACUGUCCUGUAACUGUACAUUAUUAUUUUUUUUACCACUCUGCUUUCCGAGCCGCGCUCAAACACAUCGUGCCCGUCAUCUUGUCUACUCGCGAAAGGCAGCAGAUUUCUGCUGAUGCAGUGAUGUCUGGAAAUGUCAAGGGCUCGCUUAUUGCCCCUUAAUGUAUCUCACCCCCCCCUGAAUUGCAGCGCAAGAUUUUCUCCUGCGGUAUACAGUAAGCUGUUCACACCACGGUGCCGCCGCUCCAGCAAUUACUGACGCUGCAGCUUUGCAACCAGCUCUUCUCGCUCCGCUUCCAGCACGAGCUGUCUCCCUUAGACCCGAUUUGCUCUUGUAUCAUCUCGCCUGUAAAGUCAUUUAAAGCUCAUUCUAGGCACUUGCACGGGCGGCAUGAGCGCAGUGAGGAUCCGGGCUGCUUUUUCCCCUGCAGGUGCAAUGUAAAGUUGCCUCAUGACAUUCACCGGCGCCCUGCUGUUGGAGGAUUUUACUCGAGGAUAAGACAAAUUCAGGACCUUUCAAGAACAACUCACGAGGCAGCAGCAACAACAGCAGCAGAUGAACUAAAGAGCGGCAAUGGUCAAGUCGACGAGAGCCGCAGUGGAGCCGCACUGAGGCACAGCAGCCAAGCAGCCCCCUCGUAUCCGGGGACGUCUUCAGCAAUUCAAGGGGCGUGGGAAGCCGGGGAGUGAAACGUUUCCCCUGCUCCUGUAUGCCUGCUCAGUGAGACCAGCCACUUUCCCGACGCAACUU